This is a non-coding RNA of Acanthosepion pharaonis, 111 nucleotides long. The record is from the annotation of a GenBank genome assembly. NCBI's taxonomy places the organism in Eukaryota, Metazoa, Mollusca, Cephalopoda, Sepiida, Sepiidae.
CAGCCACAUCAUGUUGAAACACUGGUCCCCAUAUGAUCACCAAAGUGAAGCAACAGUGAGUCUUCUCAGUAUCCAGAUGGGUGACCACUUGGGAAUACCAAGAGUUGUAAG